GAUCGUGCACAUGGGCACGGGAAGAAAGGAGGAGAAGAGAGGAAGGGGAUGAUGCUCACCUUCGACGCCGGCGAAGCUUUUUCGAUGAGAAAUCUUGAUGGGCACAAAAAUGGUCUUCCACAGUGGCUUUCCGACGAUUGCUGCCGAUGGACUUCGAGUUCUCCGGUGAGAGGGAGAGAGGAGGGUUCUUCUCCUUAAAUAGAGCUGGAGGGGGCUCUUUUCGACUCCAGUUGAGAGCCGGCGAAAGGAGGAAGAAGACUCCCUUCUCCUCUAUUUUCCCUUUCUCUUUUUUUUUUUUCAUUUGGGCUUUGUGGACUAGGUUUAAGGCCUAAUUGGGCCGGGCUAUAACACCACUACUGCAUUAUAAGACCAUGAUUGAAGAGAAAGUGAAAGAGACAAUGUUGCAAGCUCUCGAAGCUUGUCCUAGAUGCAGACCCCUGCUGCCUCCUCGACUUCCUUCCUAUGCGGGGGUGCUUGGCACGGUUGAUCUACACUCGACAGCAUCCUUCUUCCCAUUCUCCUCCUCCUAGUUCCUUUUCUCCCAAUGAAAAUGACUAGAGAAAACCUUCUUGGAACGGGCCGUUAACCCCUCAUCCCCACGUCCAAGGUUCGAGUCUGCGGGCCUAUGAUUAAAUGAGGAUUAAAUUUCAAUGUCUGGAUGCGGAUCCAUGGGAGUGGUAUCUGGUCUCUCUGGUGCUGGAGGUGACGUACUCACCUGAUCCACUUGGACAUGAUAGGGAGGGACUGAGCCAUCUUUAUUGUCAUCUCGCAUUGGACAUUCGGGGCCCUUAUGUAAUGCCUUAUAUCUUGUACUAUCAAAUAAAAAUUUACCACAUCAAUCCAAAAAAGUGAAC
Molecule: long non-coding RNA, 854 nt
Filed under: Elaeis guineensis (African oil palm)
Lineage: Eukaryota; Viridiplantae; Streptophyta; Magnoliopsida; Arecales; Arecaceae
Description: long non-coding RNA (EGUI_LNC021812)
Source: RNAcentral